RNAcentral lists this small nucleolar RNA (109 nucleotides) under Sorex araneus (European shrew). RNAcentral's name for it is "Small nucleolar RNA SNORA31 (ENSSARG00000019347.1)". The record is from RNAcentral. Lineage: Eukaryota; Metazoa; Chordata; Mammalia; Eulipotyphla; Soricidae.
UGUCUUGAUGCUUGUCUGUUGCCAAGGUUUCCACUACCAAGGCAAGAAAAAGUGUUCCAGUGCUUUCUGUGUGAUCGUCACAGCCCAGAUUGAAUAGGGGUAUACAGGA